Molecule: ribosomal RNA, 253 nt
Filed under: uncultured bacterium
Lineage: Bacteria
Description: partial 16S ribosomal RNA
Rfam family: Bacterial small subunit ribosomal RNA
Source: RNAcentral
UACAGAGGGGGCAAGCGUUGUUCGGAAUUACUGGGCGUAAAGGGCUCGUAGGUGGCUUGUUAAGUCAGACGUGAAAUCCCUCGGCUCAACCGGGGAACUGCGUCUGAGACUGAUGAGCUCGAGUGCAGGAGAGGAACGCGGAAUUCCAGGUGUAGCGGUGAAAUGCGUAGAUAUCUGGAGGAACACCGGUGGCGAAGGCGGCGUUCUGGACUGCAACUGACACUGAGGAACGAAAGCCAGGGGAGCAAACGGG